UCCUCAAUUCAAGUUCCAUCAAAACUUUACACCAUAGAUUUAUUAUUCUGAGAUUCUAUAAUCCAAACCCUAACCAUGCCCUUCCCAAUUUCCAUCGAACCCUUCUCAAACCUCAAUCUCACCCAACGAGACAAGCCAUCACCGUCAUUUCAUCACGCCCUAUUCUCGUUUCCUGUUCUCUUUGGUCGGAGUUGCUGCAAGCGAUUGAGAUCCGUUGUGAACCACCACACAUCUUAUCACCUCUAAUGGCAGCAUUGUUCACCAGCUUAUAGAACAUAUAUGUAGAAAUUGGCAAACUUUUUUGUUUUGUUUAUUGAUUGGUGAUGUUUUGAGAUUGAAAUUAGAAUUUAUUAGAGUUUGUGAGAUCUUUUAUAAUCUUAUGUAUAGUGAUUAUGAUUGUUUGGUUAGUUGACUAUUGGUUGGCUGUGGGCAAAUCGAAUUGAAAGGGACCCCAAAUUUGAAAAGAAUUUGUAACCUAAAAUUCACUUUCGGUGUGCCACUUUCCUUUACUUUUCAAUUUUGCUCUUCGAUUCCAUUCCAUUCCCAAUUAACACAUUCUUGUUGUUAAUGGAUCCGAAAAACAAAGAGCUAGUGUAUUCUAGUCGCUAUUCAUCUGGGAAUGGGUUGGUACAGAAUGGGUCGGUGGGUUAUUUUACAAAGUGGUUCUAUGGAGGUUGUUGUUGAUAGUUCUUUGUGUAUGGUUGGUGAUGAUGGAUUUUGGGUUCUUGGUAAAAGGAACCGGCCAUUUGAGGCUGUUACGGGUCAAAAGCUACCUGGUGGGUCUGAUGUGAUUUUUGUGGGUCAAUAAAUUGCUGGUAAUAAUCAACAGAAAAACUAGCAGAACUAGUGCUUUUGACAGACUGAUGGGGGUGUAAUAGUUCGUUGCCUAAUCGUGCUACAUCUGGACAGAAUGGUAGUGGUAUUAAUCCUAACUAUUGUGACGGGGAAUCGUAUAUUUAUCAGAAGCAAUUGCUACUAAUCCUGGGCAACAAAGUAUUAAUCUACACACACGUAAUGUUAAUUUAAAAAAUCCAGCUAUGGUUAGUGACAUAUAAUUAUGCACUUUACGCCCUAAGAAAUACUAGGUUGUUAAUUAUGCAAGGGUUUGUUAUUUAGUUUGCUAUAUUGAUUAAGUUUGUUUAAGUGAUUAUAUGUCAUCCAGUUGCCAAAAAAGAGUAACAGAAUGCUUCUCACUUCGCAAGGUCGUGUUUAACUCAUGGACUCACAGUAAUAACAAACAUGUUUGUUAUACACAUAAACUACACUAUCUGCAUUGUAUUAUAUAUCUUGAUUCUUAACUUGCAGAUCUUAUUGAUAGAGUUUAAGAACUUUCCUUUGUUGUUUGCAGAAACCCUUAAUGCAAUUCAAGAGUUAACUUAAGCAAGUAAGUAUUUGGUUAACUUGUAUUUCUUUGACAUUGUUAUCGUACAAUAGUUCUUUAUAUUUAAUCACCGAUGUUUGUAUACUCACUUGAUAUGAAAUCUGUUACUUGCAUCGGUCUAUAUAUAUGACAAUAUCACAGGAUACCUAUGAACAUGUUGUUGUUCUUAGUGUAGAGAUAGAAGAUUAAGAUGCAUUUGAGAGAUAUUUCUUUCAGCUGAAGAAAUACUUUACAGAUGUUAGUGAUUUUCUCUCACAUUCCCCACCGGAGUACCCAAAUUUUGGUCUCACAUCUUUUGAGCAAUCACACAUGGAAGGUGCUUAUAAUCAUGCAUUGAAUGCUAGACAAAUGGUACCCCAUAAAACUAAUGUUUAUAUCAUGGAUCUUUUGGCAAGGACGCUUAAUGAGAAGACUUAUAGCUCUCUAUGGGUUGAAGAUGCUUGACAAAUGCUAUUGGUCUCUUCAGACGACCAAAACCUUUUUGAAUACAUCAAAUAGGUACAAAUUCAAACCUCGUAUUUAUUAUUUAUAACUUGACACUAGAGGUGCAAACGAGCCGAGUAGCUCGACUGAAAAAGAAAGCUCGAACGAGCCAGGCUUAAACACGCCAAGCCCGAGCCUAGGAAUCGCUUAAACACUUGAACUCUUGGUCUUUUGAGCUUUGUUAUACCUUUGAACCGGGACUAUACGCAACCCCAGGCGAGUACAUAGUUCCCCUCUUUUAC
Long non-coding RNA from Helianthus annuus (common sunflower), 2106 nucleotides. RefSeq lists it as uncharacterized. The record is from RefSeq and is a predicted model, not a curated record. NCBI's taxonomy places the organism in Eukaryota, Viridiplantae, Streptophyta, Magnoliopsida, Asterales, Asteraceae. The transcript has 3 exons.